GUGCUCGUUUCCGCAGCACAUAGAAUAAAAUUGGAACGAUACAGAAAAGAUUGGCCUGGCCCCUGCGCAAUGAUGACAUGCAUAUUUGUUGGGUGUUUCAGAUUUAA
Hyaena hyaena (striped hyena) is the source of this 107-nucleotide small nuclear RNA. NCBI's taxonomy places the organism in Eukaryota, Metazoa, Chordata, Mammalia, Carnivora, Hyaenidae. The record is from RefSeq and is a predicted model, not a curated record.